CACGUAGGGGGCGAGCGUUGUCCGGAUUUAUUGGGCGUAAAGAGCUCGUAGGCGGCUUUGUCAGUCGGGUGUGAAACCUCCAGGCUCAACCUGGGGACGCCACCCGAUACUGCCGUGGCUAGAGUCCGGUAGGGGAGCGUGGAAUUCCUGGUGUAGCGGUGAAAUGCGCAGAUAUCAGGAGGAACACCAGCGGCGAAGGCGGCGCUCUGGGCCGGAACUGACGCUGAGGAGCGAAAGCGUGGGUAGCAAACAGG
This 254-nucleotide ribosomal RNA is filed under the name uncultured bacterium. Its description in RNAcentral is "partial 16S ribosomal RNA". It matches the Rfam family "Bacterial small subunit ribosomal RNA", at positions 524 to 776 of the family's 1533-position model. The record is from RNAcentral.